AAUGAGACUAACCGAGGAGGAGGAUCUUGGAGUACAGGAAGGAGUGGCAAUGUGCAGAAGAUGACAGAGAUAUUGAGGAGCGAGAUUAUGGAGAGACUUAAAAGACAGGAGUCUGAGAAGACGUCUUUCCCUCUUCCUGACCAGCUGCUCUAAAACACAAAGGUAUUUCCAAGCAAGUCAAGAGAUGUGAGUUUGACUCGAGAGAGUUUCAACAGCAUCCAACUGCCAAGGCUUCUGCCUUUCAUCUUUUGUCUCCAUGCCUUUUCCUUUGUCAUUGUGUUUUGACCGCCACCAGAUCCACAUUGCAUGGGACCCUUACUUCCCUUCUUCAAGAACAUGGGGCAGGUGUAGAGUGGAUCAUCUACCAAUCUGAAGGUCAGUGGAGUGACUUCUGAGUCCUGCAGCUUUCUGCAGCUUGUGGAGAAGGAUCCUUAGUCAAAACUCUGAGUUAACAACAGUGC
This is a long non-coding RNA of Oreochromis aureus, 461 nucleotides long. The record is from Ensembl. NCBI's taxonomy places the organism in Eukaryota, Metazoa, Chordata, Actinopteri, Cichliformes, Cichlidae.